UACGAAGGGGGCUAGCGUUGCUCGGAAUCACUGGGCGUAAAGGGUGCGUAGGUGGGCAGGUAAGUCAGUGGUGAAAUCUCUGGGCUUAACCCAGAAACUGCCGUUGAUACUAUCUGUCUUGAAUAUAGUGGAGGUGAGCGGAAUAUGUCAUGUAGCGGUGAAAUGCUUAGAUAUGACAUAGAACACCCAUUGCGAAGGCAGCUCGCUACACUAUCAUUGACACUGAGGCACGAAAGCGUGGGGAUCAAACAGG
RNAcentral lists this ribosomal RNA (253 nucleotides) under uncultured bacterium. Its description in RNAcentral is "partial 16S ribosomal RNA". It matches the Rfam family "Bacterial small subunit ribosomal RNA", at positions 524 to 776 of the family's 1533-position model. The record is from RNAcentral.